GCCACCACCGCUCCCUGUGAUCCUCGCUGCUCUGAUCGACCUGCGCUGCUCCCACUGGCCCGUGCUGCUUCCUCAGGCCACCAUGCUCCGUUCGCCUGCCGCGCUCCCGUUGGCCACCGCUGCUGCCGAUGCUGCGUGCUGCUCUGCCCGGCCUGUGCUGCUCCCACUGCCUGUCGGGCUCCCACUGCCUUUUGAAGAUCCCCCUGCCCGUUGCGUGCCCGCUGCCCUUUGUGCGCCCGCUGGCUUCCGAGCUCCCGCGGCCUGUUGAGCGUCCGCUGCGCGCUGUGGGCCCGCUGCCUGCGCUGCGCCCGCGAUCUCUCCUGCGCCCACCGCCUUCGCUGACCGUCUGGCCACCGCCGCGCUCUAUGGCCUGUGCUGCUCCAUCCGACCUGCGUUGCACACGCUCACGUGCGCUGCUCCGAUUGGCCUGGGCUGCUGCUGCCUUAAGCCACGGGGGCUCGGUUGGCCUGCGCUGCUCCCCGUGGCCACCGCUGCACCCUCAGCCAGCACGUCUCCCUCUGGCCACCGCUGCUUCCUGUCCUGCUCCGUCCGACCUGCGUUGCACACACUCCCCUGCGCCGCUCUGACUGGCCCGGGCUGCUUCCUCAAGCCACCAGAGCUCCAUCGGCCUGCGCUGCUCCCUCUGGCCACCGCUGCUCCCUAGGGUCCGUGCUGCUCUGACCGACGUGCGCCGCUCCCACCGGCCCGUGCUGCUUCCUCAGGCCGCCAUGCUCCCCUGGCCCGCCGUGCUCCCGUUGGCCGACGCUGCUGCCGAGGAUCUGCGUUUCUCUGACCGGCCUCUGCUGCUCCCACUGCCUGUUGUGCUGCCACGGCUUGUUGCCUCCCCACUGCCGGUUGCGAGCCCAACGCCUGCUGUCCUCUCACUGCCUGCUGUGCUCCCGCCGCCUGUCGCGCGCCCGCUGCCUGCCGUGCUCCCGAGGCCUGCUGCACGCCCACUGCGUGCGCUGCGCCGCGCCACUGCCUGCGCUCGCCAACGGCCCUGGACGGCUUCCUCCUGGCACCCCUGCUGCCUCGGAUCUGUGCUGCUCUGACCGGCCUGUGCUGCUCCCACAGCCUGUUGUCCCCCCCACAGACAGCCUGUUGUCGCCCCGCAGCCUGUUGUGCCCCCCCACAGGCUGUGGUGCCCCCACUGCCUGUUGUGCCCCGACAGCCCGUUGCGGCCCCCCCCCACAGCCUGUUGUGCCCCCCCCAGCCUGUUGUGCCCCCCGCAGCCUGUUGUCCCCCCACAGCCUGUGGUGCCCCCCCAGU
This 1269-nucleotide long non-coding RNA is filed under the name Vulpes vulpes (red fox). Its description in RNAcentral is "lncRNA (ENSVVUG00000019290.1)". The record is from RNAcentral. Lineage: Eukaryota; Metazoa; Chordata; Mammalia; Carnivora; Canidae.